AAUUCCCACUCAUCCCAUGCGUGGCAGGAGCGGGGGACCCAGGAAGUACGCCGGUCCCGCGAACAGGACGGCUCGGGGUGAAGCCGCGUGAGAACGCGGCCGGGCAUCUCCAGUCCGAACCCGACAGCUCACCUCGCAGGCGCCGGAGAGGAAUU
RNAcentral lists this small RNA (155 nucleotides) under Streptomyces venezuelae. RNAcentral describes it as "c-di-AMP sequence". It matches the Rfam family "c-di-AMP riboswitch aptamer (ydaO/yuaA leader)". Rfam says of the family: This family represents a conserved RNA structure found upstream of the ydaO and yuaA genes in Bacillus subtilis and related genes in other bacteria. Lineage: Bacteria; Bacillati; Actinomycetota; Actinomycetes; Kitasatosporales; Streptomycetaceae. RNAcentral also lists the same sequence under 1 other name. The record is from RNAcentral.